RNAcentral lists this ribosomal RNA (433 nucleotides) under uncultured bacterium. Its description in RNAcentral is "partial 16S ribosomal RNA". It matches the Rfam family "Bacterial small subunit ribosomal RNA", at positions 29 to 507 of the family's 1533-position model. The record is from RNAcentral.
AACGAACGCUGGCGGCAUGCCUAACACAUGCAAGUCGAACGAGACCUUCGGGUCUAGUGGCGCACGGGUGCGUAACGCGUGGGAAUCUGCCCUUGGGUUCGGAAUAACAGUUGGAAACGACUGCUAAUACCGGAUGAUGACGUAAGUCCAAAGAUUUAUCGCCCAGGGAUGAGCCCGCGUAGGAUUAGCUAGUUGGUGGGGUAAAGGCCUACCAAGGCGACGAUCCUUAGCUGGUCUGAGAGGAUGAUCAGCCACACUGGGACUGAGACACGGCCCAGACUCCUACGGGAGGCAGCAGUGGGGAAUAUUGGACUAUGGGCGAAAGCCUGAUCCAGCAAUGCCGCGUGAGUGAUGAAGGCCUUAGGGUUGUAAAGCUCUUUUACCCGGGAUGAUAAUGACAGUACCGGGAGAAUAAGCCCCGGCUAACUCCGUG